This is a small nucleolar RNA of Otolemur garnettii (small-eared galago), 118 nucleotides long. Lineage: Eukaryota; Metazoa; Chordata; Mammalia; Primates; Galagidae. The record is from Ensembl.
UGGCAUGAAUGGACAAGAAUGGAGAAAGGUGUUAUUUCUUAUGUGCUAUACGAAUAGUUGAAGAUUAAUUAGCAGUAUAACUAUAAAUAGUAAUGCUGCCAGUCUCCUUCAGACAAGA